ACUGUGAUGUUCAUCACAGUUGUAUUGAUGUUGUGAACACACUAGUCUCUCAUGACUGUCAUGAUCAACCCAGAACAAAAAAUCUUGCAUAAUUUGGUCAGACACUCAAUUAAGUUCUAGUGGGAGACGCAAAUGAAAACUCACAGCCAAAUUUACAGGCAUUACGAUUGGGUCAUGUGCAGCUGCAAUUGAUUGAUUAUUACAAUUUAUGUUGUGAUGUUUUAGAUGAGACUGACUUUUUGACCCAAAUGAUCCUAUUUACACUUUGUAGUCGAUUUUGACAGUAAAAUAAUGUUUCUGACUCAUAUCUAUCUAUAUGCUGUUUCCGAAUGAGAAGUUGGUUUUUAGGUGCAGUUGUUCUUUAAAAAUGACUGGCAAAAGAGUCAUUUUCUCAUGCAUGCCAACUGGCUACGGCAAUGUUUGAUAUUUCAAGCGUGGCUAAGUUUGACAUUUAAUGUGUCUGCUGUGGGAGAAAUAGCAGCGUAUCCACAUCCCCAGUUUAAGAAACACCCUCGCACUAUCCUGAUACUUCCAAAUAACAUUUGACAAAAGGCCCAAGCACCGGAACAACUGCUGCUCGUUAUCCAAUGUUUCCAUAGUCACUUUACAGAUUCUACAGUACCAUUUAUGUUUACAUAGUUUGUCCAUGAGAGAGGCUUAGCAAUUAAGUAAAGGACUAGGCUUAAUCUGUUUCCGGGAAUCUGGCACAAAAUGUUAAAUAAAUUACUAUAUUAAAUCUGUCUGGUAUUUUGAGAAACAAUUUUUAUGAUGCACUGGAUAGCGUCACGGUUUAUUUAGACUAAUCGUGAUUUUGCAGAGGUGGUCCUUCCAUAGAAGUGUGUUAGGAAAUGUUGUCUGUGUGGAAACCUAUCCCUAUACUUUUCCUCAUUACCACCUUCUCAGUUUUGAGUGACACUAGCAUUUAUUUGCCACUUGCUAUAACAACUUAAAUGGUUUGAAUUAGCACACCCCUUCAUCUGUUGCUAACAUCUAUCACUAAAGUGGAAACAUUGUCACUGUCCAGUGACAUAUUACAAUCCAUAUCACUAUAGCCUAGAAUUCACUGUUGUAAUUCUGGAAGCUCAGAAUUGUAGGCUACAGCAAGAAAUCAACAGCAUUGGCCAAGGUCAAACAGUAUCCCCCUUAGCUUGAGAUUUUUAUUUUAUAAAAUAGAUUUUGACCAUAGCUGAAAUCCUUUGCAGAAGCACAACUGACACGGAAAAUACACUGAAUCCAUAUCGUAAAAGUUCAGUCAGGAAAGUUUUCUGGGUGAUACAGUUGCGCUAUAAUAUAUUGGCACCCUUGCAGGAAUCACUAUUUAUUUUAAAAUAAGUUGAAAUUGAAAAAACGUUUGGUGUUCACACAUGUAUUCCACUUCAAAGUCAAAUAAUGACCUGGACUAAAUUAUUUUAUUCAAAAUACUGUAAUUUGGUUGGAGGCAACUGAUUAUCGUUUACUGCGUCAAAAUACAGGGUCAAAAUAUCCAUUCACCCAAUUUUGAAAAGAAAAAACAGAACAUUCUGCUCCAUUGCACUCAUUGUAAAGUGUCAGGGUGCCAAUAAUUUUAACUGCAACUAUCCACCUGUCCUGAUGUCUCUCACUGGGUGCGUUCAUUCUGCAUUUUUUGGGCAUGACAACCAAAGUUAUAAUUGAAGACACGGCUGUUCUGUGCUUGUACAUACAUAUUUUAAUGGGCAAUUCACCUAGCUCUGCCACUGUAUAUAGUCAUUACUAUAUUAACAACAAUACAUUUUGUCAUAAACCUCCAAAAUCUCCUCACCACAAGCUACGAGCACACUUUAAUUUCAUCGGUAGAAUCUGUGUAUUCGCCUGCUCUGAGGCCUCUUUUAACAAUGGUAAAUCUUAGCGCUGUUGGUAGCGCUAUAGGUCCAGGGCUCUGUCAGAACUAUUUAUUUUUUCAUAUUAUGAGCGCAAUAGCUGGCGGUGAUGCAAAAAGGGCUAGGUUUUGAUGAAUAAAUUAGUUGUAGAUGUGAUGAGGGCUGGUUACUCACUGGUCAAUCAAAGUGUUUUAGGGCUUAAUAUUGCAUGUGGUUGUCUCAAGUUCUGUAGGUUAUUGACGGUCUUUGCGUUGACAUCUACUCCAAUUCGGCUGUGGCACAUAAUAUUCUCGUCUUAGUCCAUUGUGGAUUGAUACGACAGUUUAUUUAAUAGUAUAGGCUACAAUGACGAGUAAUAGCAAGAGUAAAUCCGACAGUUUAUUUAAUAGUAUAGGCUACAAUGAUGAGUAAUAGCAAGAGUAAAAAAAAGAAUCCAGUGUGUGCUCAAUAUGUGUUGGCAGUCAACGUUGUAAUUGGCUUCAAUGAGUAUGUCCUACAUGCCCUUCUCCUAAGAUAAAAAAAAUACUAGGCUCUGGUAAAUGUUAUUUUAUAUGUGAGGCACGUUCUUAGUAAGCAAGAUAUAGCCUAGGCCUACCAUUGAUACUGCAUUAUAGGACUGAAUAAUUUAAAUACAUUUGGAGGAGCGCAUCUUUGGUAACCACUCUUUGGAAAUGGGGAUGGAUACUUGAACAAGCUAAAUGAAGUAUGCAGGUAGGCAAAUGUGUAUAUAUUUUAGUAUGUGCAGUAUAUUUUGAAUUCAAGGCUCUCUCACGAAUGGAUGAUUUAAACACGUUUUAUGGAAUGGCAACAUGGCUGCAUGGCCAAGAUAUAAAAGACACACGACAACAUAUUGCUGUUAAACCAGGUAGGGUAAGUGUAGCCUACUGAGGGCUUUUAAUCAAGUGAAAUGGAAAACCAGCAACUGUUACAGUAAAAUAACUUUUAAAAAUAUGAUUUAACCUUUGUUUUGACAGGGAGUCAAUACUGAGACCAAUAUCUCUUUUCCAGAUAUGCCCUGUAUAAUAUCACAAUACACAUCAAAAUACAAUAAACACAUUAAACGACACAUUCAUAUACACAUUAAAAUACACAACACACAAAAAGCAAAACACAAUAAUAAAGAACAUUUUACAUUCUUUAGUAUAAAGGUCCCCUAACAACCAUCUGACAUGCCCUAGAGCAGGGAUCUCCAACCCUGUUCCUGGAGAGCUACCAUCCUGUAGGUUUUCAGUCCAACCCUAAUCUAGCACACAUGAUUCCCAUAAUUAGCUGGUUGAUAAACUGAAUCAGGUUAGUUGGAGAGCCCUCCCUAGAGGCACCAAUUACUCAAAUGUUUAAGUGUAUUGUAGGUGUAGGUGCAAAAAAACUAAAAGCAGAUUUCCCCAAGUCAGUGGACCUCCAGAGUUAGCAAUCCCUUAGCCCGGGUCCAGUAGGCCGUACAUCUAUAGGUUAACAGUGAGGUAAGGUAUGGCGGAAGUUUAUGCAAGGGGGCUUUAUAGACAAAAAGAGCGCAAUACAGUGAUCUACGAGACUUCAACAAGGGCCAGUCUACAUUCUGAUACAAAAUGCAUAAUGAUAAACUGCAUCCAAUGGCUUCAAUGCAGUGGCAGCUGCAUUUGUGACCGGUGUAGAUUGCCUCCUCAUUGUGUUUUGAUCAGCUUACAUCUGACCAAAAGGAUCAGGGUUGGUGCUGAUAUUUUCUUCUCUGAUAAUGACAGGAAAAACAUCCAUAAACAAAUGCUGUGGUGCCCUUAUAUGCCAACUCCUCUGCAAAGUACAAAUUCACAUCGAAAGUGGACAUGAUUAGCCAUGCUACCCCAAUGACGAUGUAGCGUACAGUAUAAAAUACAGUAGCUAUCUAACAUGUACAAUAGGCACACAUUACAAGACAAAACAUUAAUAAAUUACUGAAAUGCAUACAUAUCACAAUAUAAUGAAGGGAUACCAUUAUAGUACAUUGUCAGUAACCAUAUAAACUCAACUGUUUUAACAUACAUGUUUUAACAUGUUUUAACUGUUUUAACAUGAUUGAUUUCAUGGGACAAUUUUACAGUAAGCUACCUCUUCCACAUCACUACUGUAGACGGUAAGAGGUAAGGGGGCAGGGGAUGUUUAUGAGGGGGAAUACAGGGGGAGAAGGAAGUGUGCACCUUUGAAAAGGGCACUCACAACAAUAAAAAGGAAUGUACAGUAAUAUCAAUCAUGGAACUAUUCCGAUUUUUUGUAAUUAUACAACAUGAAAUUCAACACGUUACACUCACCAUCCAAGAAUAACAGCAACAUCUGGAGAGUAUUUAUAGAAAAAUAUAAUAUUCAUCAUGACUUCAUAGAUACCAGCCCUACAGUGGUUAUUCCUGUAAAAGUUGCAUCAUACUGCAGCACACCAUGCAGUCCGCUGCAAAAUUCUAUGGCACAUUAUUGCUAGUUAGUGCUAGUUUGACCACCAAAGGGCAUCUUUGAGAAGCAUUUGAUAUCUUCAAUAUUGGCUGUACUAGAGAAUUUGAAAACGUUUUUGUAAGAACACAGUAUAUGGGAUUGGCUUUAAGAAACGUAGCUUAAUUCAUUUGAUUAAUAAAAUGGUGUUUCCAUUCCAAGAAAAAUGUAAAAAACAAAACCCUCAGGGUUUCCGUUAGGAAGAUAUGGCGCUGUACAAUGUGACGGUAGGGAGUAGGCUACAGUACUAAGAGCAUAAGAUUUCCAUAACCUAAUUUUAGUCUAACCAAUACCCAAACAGAGAUUCAGUGAAAUUAAAAAUCUCAUUGAUUUAUCAAGAGCAGUCCCAUUGCUUGUCUCAGAGCAGCGCUGUCUUGACCUCUGAAUGCUGUCUUUUCUCCUUCCACUUGCCUCUUCUAUUAAUUUUGAAAGAGUAUUUUCCAGUAAGCAUAAUCAAUGCUCUAACUCCCCCUUGGAGCAGUGACGCAGGGCGCCGCACUAAACCUCAAAUUACCUCUAAAUCCCGCAGCAUAAUCUCAAAACGUUUAGUUGAGCAACCAAUGUAAGUGUUACCAACCCACACACUGGGUAGCUUAGUCUCGCAUUGCCAUACCUCCAAAAUCACGUCUUUGUCACAUCUCCCUGGAAGUCUUUAGAAUUUUGUGUUACAAAAACAGUUUGAUUGGAUGUUACAUUUCAAGAACCCUCCCUCCACACCCCCUUAGAAGGGGUGCUGUGUGUUAUGUGUGUCACUGUUUUCCGUCUGGCUAGUUGUUGCCUUUGCUAGUUUCAAGGGCUAGUUUUCAAGUUAUCAAGUGUGGCCGACAGUCUGUGAUUUGUAUUUAUUGAAAUUAAAAGUGGAUUACUCUGGUAAAGUCAAAUGUCACAACACAUUUUUUCUUCCAUGUCUCCAUUCAUCCACAUGGCUGCAAUUGCUGCAAUUCGGUACCACCUAAAGUAUUAAGAAGAUUGGUGAUUAUUUUGUUUUUGUAUGGACCCAAAACACAGAUGCAGUGGGAGAACCUAUUCAAAUAUGGAAAGCUGUGAAAGCCUGUUUGCAGAUGAAGAGAGAGGUCCCAAUGAAUGUCCCAAGAGACUAUGGGUAUAUCCUAUAUGCAUAGGUUAUACACUACCGUUCAAAAGUUUGGGGUCACCUGCCUUGUUCAUAAUGUUGUUAAGGAGGCAGAGCCACACUUUAUUAUAGACAGACUUCUCCCCAUCUUAGCUACUGUUGCAUUAACAUGUUUUCACCAUGACAGUUUAUAAUCGAGGGAUACUCCAAGCAGUUUAGUCACCUUAACUUGCUCAUUAUCCACAAUAUUCAUUACAAGAUUAAGUUGAGGAUUAGAGUUUAGUAAAGGAUUUGUCCCAAAUACAAUGCUUUUAGUGUUUAAAAAAUGUAUGACUAACUUACACUACCGUUCAAAAGUUUGGGGCCACUUGUUUUUGAAAGAAAAGCAAAUGUUUUGUCCAUUAAAAUAACAUCGAAUUGAUCAUAAAUACAGUGUAGACAUUGUUAAUGUUGUAAAUGAAUAUUGUAGCUGGAAACGGCAGAUUCUUUUAAUGGAAUAUCUACAGUUGCGUACAGAGACCCAUUAUCAGCAACCAUCACUCCUGUGUUCCAAUGGCACGUUGUUUUAGCUAAUCCAAGUUGAUCAUUUUAAAAGGCUAAUUGAUCAUUAGAAAACUUUAGAAAUUAUGUUAGCACAGCUGAAAACAGUCAGGCUGAUUAAAGAAGCAAUAAAACUGGCCUUCUUUAGACUAUUUGAGUAUCUGGAGCAUCAGCAUUUGUGGGUUCGAUUACAGGCUCAAAAUGGCCAGAAACAAAGCACUUUCUUCUGAAACUCAUCAGUCUAUUCUUGUUCUGAGAAAUGAAGGCCAUCCCAUGCGAGAAAUUGCAGAGAAACUGAAGAUCUCGUACAACGCUGUGUACUACUCCCUUCACAGAACAGCUCAAACGGGCUCUAAAAGGAAUAUAAAGAGAAGUGGGUGGUCACCAUGCACAACUGAGCAAGAGGACAACUACAUUAGAGUGUCUAGUUUGGGAAAGAGACGCCUCACAUGUCUUCAACUGGCAGCUUCAUUAAAUAGUACCUGCAAAACAGUUUCAACAUCAACAUUGAAGAGGCGACUCUGGGAUGCUGAUGUGUUUAAAUAUGUUGUAAUUGUUAACCUAUUAUUCAAAAUAGUGUCAACACUGAUUAAUCACAUAUCACAAUCCUGCAAUAAAGAGGGGAAGGGGUUCUGUCUCUAAUAUGUCUGUGUUUCUGUAUUGUAUUCUCAAAUAAACAUUUCCUUUUUG
Long non-coding RNA from Oncorhynchus nerka (sockeye salmon), 6573 nucleotides. RefSeq lists it as uncharacterized. NCBI's taxonomy places the organism in Eukaryota, Metazoa, Chordata, Actinopteri, Salmoniformes, Salmonidae. The transcript has 2 exons. The record is from RefSeq and is a predicted model, not a curated record.